UACGUAGGGGGCAAGCGUUGUCCGGAAUUAUUGGGCGUAAGGGGCGCGUAGGCGGCUUGGCAAGUGGAAGGUGAAAUCCCUCGGCUUAACCGGGGAACUGCAUCUGAUACUGGAUGGCUUGAGUUCGGGAGAGGGAUGUGGAAUUCCAGGUGUAGCGGUGAAAUGCGUAGAUAUCUGGAGGAACACCGGUGGCGAAGGCGGCAUCCUGGACCGACACUGACGCUGAGGAGCGAAAGCCAGGGGAGCAAACGGG
Molecule: ribosomal RNA, 253 nt
Filed under: uncultured bacterium
Lineage: Bacteria
Description: partial 16S ribosomal RNA
Rfam family: Bacterial small subunit ribosomal RNA
Source: RNAcentral